This 32-nucleotide ribosomal RNA is filed under the name Solanum mammosum. Lineage: Eukaryota; Viridiplantae; Streptophyta; Magnoliopsida; Solanales; Solanaceae. The record is from RNAcentral.
GGAUGCGAUCUUACCAGCACUAACGCACCGGA